GAAGCAGAUGUAUUUUUUCCUUUUCAAUUUUAUACUUUAAGCAUUGUUCGAAGUUUUUAUCAUGUACUUGUAUUCGUUACCAAAAAAUAAAGACAACUGGGCUGUAUGUUCGAGUUACACUCUCUGACCAUGCCAAAAGACAGCUCCUCCUUGCUGUUUCCAGGGGUAUACUUACCUGUCUUCUACUAUCUUGUUGGAUGGAUAAAAAACUUUGAAUGAAAAUCCGCUUCUUGGAAAAGAGCCCUUUGGAGAAAAAAAUGCCUUUACGCUCUGUCAACCGCAGCCUAGAAGCAGAUGGUCCUUCUUCCGAUGAAUCGUCAGAAGUAAAAGCUCUAUUGUGUGGCUGGCGGCAGUGCGCUCUCAGCUGAGGAUAUGAAGACGAUAAACCAAGUGUCAUCCUCAGAGCACAGGGGUCUGUGAGACAGAAAAGUCGAGGGCCGCCAUACAACAAAGGACCCCAGGCAGAAGGGGACAUUUAACGAGACCCUGAAUGAUAAAUAAGACUUUGCUAGUAAGAAACCAAAAGAGACAAGACAUUUCAGGCAGAGGAAGGGAUGUGUCAGGAGAGUUCCAAGAGUGAAAGAGUGGGAAGUGAUGCGAAGUUCAGUACCGUUGGCUCAUGAAGUGCACAAAGCAGAACGUCAGACGAGCACAGAGGACUUUCAAAGGAAAAGUAGAGAUCUGGCCAAAAAGUGAACUGGAAGAUCUCAAACACUAAGUAUAAUCUGUAUUUGAUUCAAUAGGCAGUAAACCUCCUUUUUGAAAGACUUCUGUGCAAAAUCACGACAAUACCAGAGCUUCCCGUCAGGAAGACUGAUCUGGCAACGUUAUGCAGGUGAUGGAAGCGGGAGAGAAAAGGCAUCCCCAGUGCUCACCCUCUUCAUCCUUUUUCAGGCUUCCUGCCACUGCCCAUCCUCUUCUUGAAACCUUCUUCUGUUUCUGCCAUCUAACACCAUGCCGGCCCCCACGAUUCUCUCCUUUUCCCUUCCACCGCUGCCUCCCCCACAGCUGCCUCUCUUUCUCAGAGGGGCUACUCCUCUACUCCAUCUACCCCUCUGGGCAGAUGGCCCCUAAAUCCCUCUCUGCCCAGAUCUCUUUCUUCAGCUCUCAGUGUACUUGUCACCUGA
Ailuropoda melanoleuca (giant panda) is the source of this 1127-nucleotide long non-coding RNA. RefSeq lists it as uncharacterized. NCBI's taxonomy places the organism in Eukaryota, Metazoa, Chordata, Mammalia, Carnivora, Ursidae. The record is from RefSeq and is a predicted model, not a curated record. The transcript is spliced from 4 exons.